AUCACAUCCUGGGGCUGAAGUAGGUCCCAAGGGUAUGGCUGUUCGCCAUUUAAAGUGGUACGCGAGCUGGGUUUAGAACGUCGUGAGACAGUUCGGUCCCUAUCUGCCGUGGGCGCUGGAGAACUGAGGGGGGCUGCUCCUAGUACGAGAGGACCGGAGUGGACGCAUCACUGGUGUUCGGGUUGUCAUGCCAAUGGCACUGCCCGGUAGCUAAAUGCGGAAGAGAUAAGUGCUGAAAGCAUCUAAGCACGAAACUUGCCCCGAGAUGAGUUCUCCCUGACCCUUUAAGGGUCCUGAAGGAACGUUGAAGACGACGACGUUGAUAGGCCGGGUGUGUAAGCGCAGCGAUGCGUUGAGCUAACCGGUACUAAUGAACCGUGAGGCUUAACCUUACAACGCCGAAGCUGUU
Molecule: ribosomal RNA, 409 nt
Filed under: Escherichia coli
Lineage: Bacteria; Pseudomonadati; Pseudomonadota; Gammaproteobacteria; Enterobacterales; Enterobacteriaceae
Description: bacterial LSU rRNA
Rfam family: Bacterial large subunit ribosomal RNA
Source: RNAcentral